Sesamum indicum (sesame) is the source of this 1168-nucleotide long non-coding RNA. RefSeq lists it as uncharacterized. NCBI's taxonomy places the organism in Eukaryota, Viridiplantae, Streptophyta, Magnoliopsida, Lamiales, Pedaliaceae. The record is from RefSeq and is a predicted model, not a curated record.
GUAUAUAACUAGGUCAUAUAUAUACCACACAUAAAACUCUAGCCCCCGACACACAGAAGACACUCCACUCUCUCCAUCUCAUGCUCUCUGUCUCUUCCUCUCUCUCUCCAUCAUUUCUUCUUGAUAAUGGUCAUCCAAGAACAAUCCAGAAAAUCAAAACGUUAAUUCAAUAACAUUCCUUUGAUCUCUUGCUCUUCUACGGAUGUUCUUGCUAGCAGGAGAAAACCAUAUCCUCCUAGUGGGAGCGUGGACAUUUUUGGAGGAUCUCUGCAUAGAGAUCUAGAUCUGAUGAAGGGAAUCAAUGCUUCAAGCGGUUCAAGAAAUCAACGAGAAUAUAGUUUCAACUAAUGCUUUCAUUUAUUUCUUGACUUUUCUUGGCCUAUGUAUGUUUUUAUACACCAAAUGCCCGAGAAUGAUCAAGGAUACACCCCUUGAUCGGGAUUUAUAUUUGUGUUUUUCGAUUAAUUUUGAUUUCUAGCGCUUUUGUCUCAUUUUCUUGGUCGAUCUGCUUCCUACAAGUGGUAUUACAAUCUGGUUCGAUGUUUAGGCCUUGAGUCCAGCAUAUUUUAUGUGAUUCAACAUAUAAACGUGUUUAUUCAGCUUUGAAAGCAUGAGAUUUGGUGAUUAAUUGCAUAUCUAGAUCUAGAGUUUUAUGUGUAUAAUUUUUCAUGUAAUUUGGAUAUGAGAAAUUUGAGAAUAGGGAUAUUCUGAAUUUAAUUGAUUUUUUUUUGUUUCAGAAAAUUGUAGGAAAAAAUAGGGGAGUUUCAGAAAAACCAAAAAAACCCAGCAGAAGUGCUAUUGCCUUUCGGUCGGCACUGGCUAGCAGGCGCGCUAGGGGCAAGAACCCUGCUCGCAGCUGGCAACAAACGCGACCACUUAUUAGGAGCAAGCCUGAAUGAUAGAGGCCCAUGGAGGAGGUCAUUGGUUGGCCCAUGGAGAUCUAUGGAGAAGAAGCCUGGAGGAUGGAGCCCACGAUGGAGAUCAAGAAAAAAAAAAAAAAAAAGAGAGAGAGAGGUGUUACAAGGCUCAUGAUGUGUUAAUGGUUGAUAACUUGUAAUAGCGUAGGACUACCCUUAUAUUAACCAUUGAUAAACUGCGGGCUCAGUGAGUUGUAUUGGUUUUGAUCUUGUGAUCAUCCAACAGGGGCGUGCUAGACUUUUAUUUUGCA